Molecule: long non-coding RNA, 20215 nt
Filed under: Coffea arabica (coffee)
Lineage: Eukaryota; Viridiplantae; Streptophyta; Magnoliopsida; Gentianales; Rubiaceae
Description: long non-coding RNA (CARA_LNC004847)
Source: RNAcentral
AUUCCCUUCUUAACAAACCUUCCCAAAACAUCAACGUAGGUGUCCCUGUACAUUUCAAACCCAGCAUUCCUCAUCUCAUCAACAACCCUCCAGAAUUUAUUACUCGCAUCCUCACUAGCUAAUGCCCUCACCAUAGCAUUAUACGUACGUUCAUCAUGUUUGCAGAGACCGCUCUCCUCAACCCACCUGAAGAAAAUCAACCCCUUGUUUGCACCAAUCCCAAGAUUGUCCACAACCAUCGACACCAACUCACUAGAAAACUCAACAUUCAAGCCCCUAAGCCGCUUUUCCACAUUAUCACCCCAAAGCUCUGAUCUAAUAGCUCUACAAACCCGAGAACAAAGAUUUUCAACUGAAUUAUCAGUCGACCCGGACGCGUACAAAUCUUUUAACUUCUUAACAUCAUCACUCAUCCCAUCCUUCUCAAAUUUCUCCAAAGCUUUAACAAACGUACCCUUCGAUACUCCAUAACCUUUCUUUUUCAUAGUCCCAACCAUAUCCCAAAAUUCCUUCACAAACCCAUUACCAAGCAGUACACCCAGCAUCAAAUUAUAAGAUUUCGAGCUCAAUCUCUUCUCGUUAUCACUCUUUGAAACCCAUUUGAAGAACCUCCGCGCCACAUCAGGGGCAGACUGGAGAUUCUUCAACGCAUUCAAAACCAAAUCAUGGGUUAUGACAAUGUUAUUGGACUCUAAUUGCAGCUUAAUUUUCUCAUUACUCUCUGGGUCCGGGAGAAAAUGUCAGUCAGCACAGCAAUUUGGUUUUGAUCGGGUUGGUCUUUGGUGGGUUCAACGGCGAGCUCAGAAGAGGAGAAAAACCGGAGAGACAUGGGGGGUUAUGAAAUUGAUUGAUAGUAACGCGCCGGGAUGAGGCGGGGAAAGCAGAGACCAUGACGAGAUAGAGCGGGUAGAGUUUACCUGAGAGUGAGGUAGAGUGGAAAUGAGCAGUCGAGACCGAGAGUGGCAUCGGAGGAGAAGAAGCCACGCCAUUGAUUUCUCAUUGAUCUGAAGAGUUCUAUUGAUGGGUUCCGAGAUAGAAGCAGUUUUCGAGGUUUUCCGGCUAAGAGUCGAAAGCUAGAAGGGGUUUUUGAUUUGGAUUUUAGGGUUUGGGCCCUUUCGGCCCUAUUUUGGCUGGGAGAGUGAAACAAGAGCGCGGCAGUUUGAAAUGAAAAUUCACGGAUUGACCGUAAUUAUUAUCUCUGGAACAAAGAAAAGCCCAUCGAACGAAUAAAAAACUAAAGUAAGUAAGUAUUCUUUUUCUGUUGUUUGAAUUUUUAUUUUUUUUAUUUUUAGAGAGAUCACAUUUAAGAAGUAGGAAUAAGUAGGGUUGUAAUCGAGUCGAGUCGAGCUCGAGUAUCGCUAUACUCGAGCUCGACUCGACAUACAGUUAGGGUACUCGAGCUCGAGCUUGAACUCGAGCAAGUAGUAUUAUUGGAGCUCGAGCUCACAUUUAAGAAGUAGGGAUAUGUAGGGUUGUAAUCGAGUCGAGUCGAGCUCGAGUAUGGCGAUACUCGAGCUCGACUCGAGAUACAACUAGGGUGAUCGAGUUCGAACGAGUAGUAUUAUUGGAGCUCGAGCUCACAUUUAAGAAGUAGGAAUAGGUAGGGUUGUAAUCGAGUCGAGCUCGAGUAUCGCCAUACUCGAGCUCGACUCGACAUACAGUUAGGGUGCUCGAGCUCGAGCGAGUAGUAUUAUUGGAGCUCGAGCGAGUAGUAUUAUUGGUCGCAGUACUCGAGCUCGACUCGCAUGGGCUCGAGUCCAUUCGGGCCUUAUCGAGUUCGCUCGAGCUCGUUCGAGCUCGAGUUAUUAAUUUUUAUUUUCUUAAUAUUUUUUAAGCAAAAAGACAUUAUUGUCCUUUUAAAAUUUUUAUAUGACUUGAAACAUUUCGUAAAUUCGACAAUUCUUUUGGAUAUAAGGGUAAUUUUAUAAUAAUAAUAUAUUAAAUAAUGAAAAUUAAAAAUAUUAAAUAGUUAAAAUUAAAAUGCUCGAUAAGGCUCGUCGAACCUUCGAGCAUCGCUUCUGGAUGCUCGAACUCGACUUGAUAGCCUUAUCGAGCUGCUCGAACUCGACUCGAACUCGAUUUAACCGAGUUCGAGUCAAUUUUUGCUCGCGAGCAGCUCGGUUCGAUUGCAUCCCUGGGGAUAGGGAUGGCAGACACCAGAUACUCUCAAAAAUCUUUCAUAGCAAAUUUAACUUGCAUAUUUUAAUUUUAUACCAAACCCUACUGGGUCCUCUCCAUUGCGUAAUCCUAAUGGUUUUAACUUUCGUUACCAAAUCGCCUCACUUUCAAAUUUGGAUUGUCCAUUAGAUGUUAAUAUGAAUAGUUCAAAAAAAGAAAAUUAACUAUCAUCAAAUUAAAAUUAAUACAUACAUCAUGUUAAAUUAACAUAUUACGUUGAAUUUUUAAACUUUGACGAAGCUAUAGAGCCUACGUAAGAGGAAUGAAGGAUUAUGCAAAGAGUUGGGUUAAAGUUAUAUUUUAUUAACAAAUAAAACCAAGGCAUAUGUGUGUGUGUAUGUUGGGUAUCGGGUUUUUAUGGUUCUUUUACCGAACUCUAUUCUUCAAUAACCUCUCGUCAAUGUCAGAUCCUAACAAAUUAUCCAUUGAUUGUCCAAGUCAAUUAACCAUUGAGUUGAGUCUUUGCAGAUAUUGGAUUUUACUCUACUCAUCGUCAUCUCUAAGCGGGGAAAGGAAGGAAGAGAUUAUUCAUUUUUGUGUGGACAACAUCCGUAUAAGUAUUAAUAGGGUCAUUUUAGUUGACAAAGUAGUUUAUGUUAGGCAUCGUGCAAUUUACUAGUUGGAUUAUGAGUAUAUUAAGAAUACGACUAUUGUAAAGUGUGGAAAAAUUAAAAGUUGAUGCAUUUUCUACAACCAAAAAUCGAGUAAUUAGGUUUUUUUUUUUUUUAAAUUUGGAAAUCGAAUGAUAAGUUUGGGAUUUGCUCAUCUUGUUUGAGGUAUACUAGGGGAACUUUCAAGCAAAAAAAAUGAGUCUAUUAUGAAAACGAUUUAAGGCUUGAGAUGGAGGAGGCUUGCUCAUCUAGAUCAGGGACUCGGAAGUUGGAAAUUGUUCAACACAGAUGCCCCGUUAAUAUUAAAAAUACUAAUAAUAUUUUUACAAAUUUUUCGCUCCUUUACCGGAUUGGAAGUAGAAUUUUCCAAAACUCGGAAGUGCUCAAAAGAAACAUUUAAUAUCAUGUUUUAUCUUCAAUAAUUUGUGUCACCUAACUUUAGUUACUUCAAGUACUUCCCAGCCACUGUUUAAGUGGUUCUCGGAGGUAAUUAAUUCUUCCCAGAUUGUGAUAUGCAUUUAAGCCUAAAUUUUCCUACAAUUAACAGUCGUCGAAUUCUUUUGGUUGGGAUGCAUGGUGCUUCUUGGCUCAGUUGUGCAUCUGCGAUGGAUGAUUUGUUUAGUUAAAAGAAUGAUAUAUGCAUUAUGCAGGCAAGGAUGGCAAAGAGCAAAUUGGUAUAAGCCAAAGCUCCAUAAAUUGACGUGCCUAAAGAUUCAGCAUAGUUUUAUCGUUGAUUGCUUUGAGAUGAACAACUUUUCUCCUUCUCCCCUCUUCCAAAGGCGAGGCUUUUGGCUGCCCUCCCUCACAAAGUCCCACAAAAGUCUGAAGAAUUUCACUGGAUAUAAAAAUAGGAUUCGCUACCAGAAGAAAAGAAAGUGGUUAUGCUGUUUAGUGGCGUUGAGUCAAACUAAGAGGAAACUGGACAAAAUCACUUCUUGUUGGAGAACCAAGAAGAAAUACUGGAAUUUUAUUAGAUCAAGUCGUCAAGCGGCCCGUGCAUGAUUACAGGUACGGACCCUCCCUCUUUUUUCUUUUUUUUUUUUUCCCCCCUUUUCUUUUACAGAUGGAAAACUGAUAAAAUGAUGAACAUCUACAAGAAAAAGGGAAUUGCCAAAAGAGUACGCAGAAAGCAGAAGAAGAGAUAAAAUGUGAGAGAGAGGUCCAACUCCAACCAAGAGAAAUCUGGGAUCAAUCGUGCAUGAAACCAGAGGUGCUGAAGCUGCUGCACCCUCUUCAUUUGUUCAUCCCCGUCGCAUUUUUAACAGCAUCGGCUGCUCCUUGUGCCGUGGCCUUCGCCUGCUGCCCUGCCUGCAUACACACAACACACCCCAGACAAUUUUACCAUAACCCCAAGUAAUUAACAAGCUUCCUUUUUUUUAAAAAAAUUCUAGAAAAAAGAAAACAAGAAAUAUAUUGCAUGCAUGUAUUGUGAGAGUAGUAAACAGGUAUGGUAAAAAAUAAUAAUCAGAACCUCCUGCAUGGAUUCCUUAGCUGAUUGAGCCGCAUUGCUUGCCUUAUCCAUCAUUUGACUUCCCUUUUCCUGAAAUCAACAUAAUACACACAAGUGAUUGAUCCAUUCCUAGUAUUCACCAAUUAUAACACUGGCAAGAGAAUUCAAGUUAAGCGGGUGCAGUGAUGACCACCUACCUGCAUUUGGCCCUUGGCCUGGCCGGCUUGGUAACUCGCGUUUUGUGAAUUAUCCAUGCUCUAGCAAUUGAUAUGAUUUUUUUGAAUACUGUACUAAUAAUGUAAGAUGAGGUAAUUAGGGAACUGAUACCAGCAGUUCAUACAAACACGUAUGAGUAAUUGAUAGUGGAGACUAACAGAAGUGAGAUAAUGAGGCAUUUAUAGAGGAACUCAAGCCGAUAAUGAUAUAGGGUGGACACGUGUAAUAGAGGAGCAGGCAACGUGGCAACUGUUGGCAUGGCCAUGGCUGACACAUCUUUCGGCCUUUAGACUAGGGAAUAACGGUUAGUCAUUUGGGUUUUAGGAGAAGAACUACUUUUGCGCAUUUGCCCCGUCCACUCAUUUUAUUGUGGCAUGUUGGUAUCCAAUCUCCCGUUCACCAAAGUCCGGGUUCAAAUCUCGCAUCAUUCCCUUUCUUCAUAGCGUAGAUUAGUGCAGAAGUAGGAUAAAUUGUUUCAAACUUUUGCGUACUUUUGCGUGAGGUUGGGAUCCUCUGUGCAUACUAUACUUCUGCGUCCGGAAUAAGGAUCAAACGUAUCAUGUCUUAACCCCUAGUUUGUUAACUACUUGGCGUCGUGUUUGGCGAGAAAUUAAGUAGAUGACGAGAACAUUUAAAUAAGCUCCACGUUUUGCAGGAAUCAAUCGUAUACUCGAGAUGCUUUUCCAUCAGUUAGAAAAUAUGUUUAGGACGUUCUUACUGCUUUACUCUUCAUUGCCGGUUAGUCCUCUUCUCAGAAACUACAAAUAAACUAACACCAAGAGAUGCGACAAGCAUCAUGACUCAUAAAUAUAUAACCAAGCUCUGCAUAUGUGAAACCCGAGCAUUCAGCACAUAAUUUCAACUAUUAGGCAAGAAAAAAUGGAGUCUCUGAGAGCUGUGUUCUUAAGUGGUUAUAGUUUUAUCAUGUGGAUUGACAGCAGAAACAAACAAAAAAGGUGGUGGAUUUACGGUCCUGUGACUACUCGGCACCUUACAACUUCGGUGAUUCUAAUUCAGAUACAGGAGGAAUGGCAGCAGCAUUUUUUUCCAAUGAUAGCACCUUGUGGUGAGACGUACUUCCAUAGAUUUGCUGGUCGGGGAUCUGAUGGCUGCUUGAUUAUAGACGUCAUUGUUGACAUUUCUGAGACCUCAAACCUGAUCACUACCCAUCUUAUCUUUGUUUUGCUGACGGGGUUUUGGUCCUUUAUCUCCUUUAGUUGUAAUAAGGAAUGCUUCAACUAAUGUUUGUUCCUCUAAACUCAGCUGAGCACCUGGAUUACUGUUGCUAAGUCCCUACCUGGAUUCAGUAGGAACCAGUUUCCGGCAUGGAGCAAACUUUGCAACUGGAGGGCCACCAUUUGCCGGCAGAACGAAUCUUGGUUUCUGACAGGUGUAAGCCCGUUUCCUCCGGAUAUUCAAGUCGAACACUAAAGCACGAACAGCUUACUUCUACGAUCAAGGUAGAAGAAAUCCCGAACUCGAAACCAAUAUACGUUGGUAAAUUAUAUAUACAUCCUAAGCUUGAUGAUUGAUAUGAAUCUUCUCAAAUUUUGCGGCCAAGAUAGCAUCUGAUGUAAACAGGCUCCCUAGACCACAAGACUUCUCAAAGGCUCUUUACUCAUUUGACAUAGGUCAAAUUGAUAUACCUGCCGGUUUCCAAACAAUGAGCAUGGAAGAGCUUUAAGCCACUCUUCCUGAUAUAAUCAGCCAGUUUUCUAAACAAAUCUGAGUGAGUUCUACAGAUCAUUCAAUGAUUAGAAGUGACAAUCAACUGCAUAACAAACAAAUGAUCUAUUCAUCACUGCUACAAGAUACUUAAUGACAGCUAUAUCUGGCAGGACUUGUAUUCAAAAGAAGCAAGAGUAUUCUGGAUGCACAAUACAGGUCCCAUUGGUUGCUUGCCAGUGGCCACUAUCAAAGUCCAAAAUCCAGAGCUCGGAUAUCUUGAUGACCAUGGCUGUGUAAAGAGUCAGAAUCAUAUGGCUGUGAGGUUUAAUAAAAAGCUCAAGCAUUCAAUUAUCCAACUCAGGGCAGAGCUUUCAGAAUUUACAAUAACCUAUGUAGAUAUGUACAGGGCAAAGUACGACUUAAUCAGGAAUGCAAAAGAACAAGGUACUUUAUUAUCAAACCAGGGUCAAUGAACAGUCACUUCAGAAUCAUAAAUAAAUCACCAAACUAGUCAAUAUUGCUUCAGUUUUUAAUUUUUUUCUCUUUUUUUCCCUAUGAUAGCAGAUUAAACAUCUAAAUAUUAAUUAAGAAAAGAAAACAGUUGGCUAAACUUAAAAUAUAAGGCAUCAAAAUUCCCCAACAGAAACCAUGUGCUGUAUUUACUAUGUUCUUUAUUGCUAAUAGACACACUCUGUGACUGAAUAGACAAUGUGUUAUUCCCAGAGAAUAUAAUUUGACUGCUCCUUGGAAGCCAUUUUUAAAUGCCAAAGUUUUCAAGAGUAGUUUGAAAUUAAAAUUUAUACAUUAAUUCAAGAACCACUUAAUGUCCUAAUUACACCACUAAAUUUUCCAUUUACAGGAUUUGAGAACCCUUUCAAAAUCUGCUGUGGACUUCAUGGAAUCGAUUUUGAUGUCUUGUGCAGUAAGAAAGCAACUAUAAAUGGUAGUGAAGUAUAUGCAGGUUCUUGUGCAAAACCUUCUGCAAUAAUCAGCUGGGAUGGAGUACACUAUUCUCAGGCUACAAAUAAUUUGAUUGCUAGUCGCAUAGUCAAUGGAUCACUUUCAGACCCACCAAUGCCAAUCACACAAGCAUGUCGAAGGAAAAUUUGAACAAUUCUGUGCAUUCAAUAAUUAAACUAUUGCUUCUAAAACUCCCAAGCUUUUUUUUUUUUUAAGUGGGAGGACUCGAAUCCAAGACCUCUUACUUACACUCUCUUCCCUCGAACCACCCAACCCAUCCCCCCCCCCCACCCAAACCAAAAAAAAAAAAAAAAACUCCCGAGCUAGUCGUGCUUACUAGAAAUUUAACCCAAAAGUUUUAGAGUUGUUUCCAAGAUGUAAUUUCCAAUUUUCAAAGGCAUCUUCCUCCUAUCCAUACAAAACACCACCUUCCCCACAAAAUAAAUCAACUCUUGCUGGUUUAAGAGAGGAAAUAUACCAGCAACCCAUACCCAAACAAUGAAGUAAACUGUUUCUCUUUUGGAAUCAUAGAUCAAGCCAAUACAUAUGUACUAAAUUUUAGAAAGCAUGAUCAGCCAUUGUGAUCGUCCUGGAUCAGCCUAUUGCAUAUGCUAGUUUGCUGGAAAAUAAAUGCACAAUACCUGGUUAUUCAUAGCUUCCAAGUCUCAAAGCAAGAAAAAGAUCAUAUGUACCAUCUACAUGGCUAUUGAAAACUAUUGUUUCAUUGCUAAAAGCAGACAAGUAAAGAACAUCCAUUUUGAUAACUACAUGCCAUAUUAGAAAAAUUUCUCUCCCUAACACAAGUAGCAACAAGACAUGGACAGGAAGGGGGCAGUUUCUUACUAUGUAACAAAACAAAACACUAUCUACAUAAAGGAUGAGGCAGAUCCUUAGGAGGACAUUAUUUGGCAGUACUCCACUUUAAGGCCUAUCAAAUGACUAUAUACCCAAAUGACAGAUAAUUUCAUCUCUUGAUUAGCGCACAUACUUUUAGUAAUAACAUAUAUUCAGCACAUCGACAUGCCAGAAAGCCACACACUGCAAAAGCUAGACAGGAAACUUGGAGUUUCAACUUAUCCUGAGGCAACCACAGCCUCACUUUCUUAAAGAAUCCAAUUCAGUGCAAGUGUUUGGACAACAAUGUAGCAUGCAUAAUUUGUUACCUGCUUUAUGAAGCUCCUCGAUGGUCAAAUCCAUAAAAUGACUAAAAGAGUAUCCCCUUAGGGUCUGAUCCAUCUGAAUUUCCUGUAAAUAAUUUCAGACCCAGCGUAAAUAAGCUUUAUGCAGAACAAAAGCCGUGUUGCUUAGACAAAGAGCCCACUUGUUAAAUCCUGAGACAUAUUUACCCUGAUAUUAGCAAACUAGAUAAAGCAACAUAUCACAAUGAGCCAGGAAAUCUUUUCAUACCAACUUCAACAAUCUUAACAAUUUUCCCACAAUUGUCAAAAAUUAAAUUAUUUAAAUUUCCUUUCUGUAUUGUUUUACUUUGUUGUUUCAAAAUUCUUCGAAUUUAAGCUGUCGCAACCAAAAAUAUGAAGCAGAAAAAAGUCAAUUAAACAAGAAUAUAAACCUCAAAAUCAGGUAAUAUAGCAAGAUCAACUUGAUGUUGUUAAAUUGUUUUAAAGAAAAAAAAUUGAUACUCUUUUUAUUCUUUCAUCUGAUAAAUACUGUAACCAAAUUCACUAGAUAACAUUGAGUGUGUUUGGAUAGGAGAUUAUUCUGUUCUAGAUAGUGCUCCUUAAUCAAGCAGACCAGGCAUUCUUCAAAUUUGCAUCAAGAAACUUGAGAUUCGAGUUCUUUGAGUGUGCCUGAAAAUCUAUAUCCACAGUCCAAGGAGAUGCCUUUUAGUGCAUGAAAGGCAGGAAUAUGAAUCAUAGACAGGCAUACAGAUUAUUCUAAUAUUUCAACAGUCUACUUUUUACAAUGUUCAUCUUAACAAAAUAUGUAUGUAUAUACACAUGCACACACAUAUCCAUGAAGACAUAUACAAACAAACAUACAUGUACAUAUAAGUCCAUUUGUGUCUGUCUAUGUACUGCCAACUAAAAGAGAACUGCUACCAUUUUGCAAAAAAUCAAAGAAAGAAGCACGCAAAAGUCCAAGCCAAACCAAAAACAAAGCAACGUAUUUUUGUAAUGCAAUCUUAAGACAUAUCAUGAAUAAAGCAAAUAAGUACAGUUUCAAAUUGCUCUUUCCUGAUCAAAUUGAAGGACAAAGUGGAACUUUGGAGGUGAUAAAAUCUAUAAACUGUGACAGUGCAUCAUCAGAAUAACAAGAUAUGCAUCUUAAACAGAAAUAAGUGUUCAGCUAUCAAAAAGCUAUGCCAAGGAAAGCGUUUCCUUCUAGCAUUGAUAUAAUAGUGUGAGUGGAAAUAACUUUCCAACCUGCAAUGAAGAUUAUUCUUGGGAAAUUAAGCAGUACCAUAUGCCAUCAGAACCUGCCAAAGGGAUUGAAUUGCCACAGAUAUGGUCUCUAAAAGCAAGAGAAGUUGAUGCUCAGCAACUUAUAUCCUUUGUUCAACAUCCUGGUGCAUAUGAAGGCGAACCACACUGAACUACCCAUGUAGUGUGGCUAGCUUGAAAACACAAAUUUAGAAGUUUGUCAACCCUCAUUUAUUUUCAACUCUUGAAUGUGAAUUUGAGUAGUUUUAGAAAUUAAGCCUCUAUGGACCAAAUUGUCCCAAAAGGUAUUUAGGCAGCUUCCAUCAUUAGCAAAAGAAUCACUAAAGCUUUUGUAGAUUUUGAGAGUUACCAUCAACCGUCUCCUAUACAUCUCAUGUGACAAACUUGAAAAUGCGACCAUGUUUCCCUCUUUCAAAUAAGCAUAAGCCAGACUAGUGUAUACCACACUAUCUCCUGAUAUUCCCUUCUCAUUCAUAGUGAUAAAAACUUUCUCGGCGCAAUCAACCUUUUCCCGCUUACACAGGCGUCGUAUAAGUGCCCUGUAUACAGAGAUGUCAACACAAAGACCUCUCUCUGAAAGUUCAUCUGGCAAUUUUAUUAUUGCUUUUUCAUCAUCUUGGUUGCAGUAAAAAUCUACAAGCCAAGAGAACAUGCAAUAACUUGGAGACAGUCCUGCAGCAAGCAUCUCAAAUAAUAUAUCUUUAGCGCCAUUUACAUCCUUCACUUUGCAAUACCCAUGAAUUAAUGCCUUAAAAGUAAAAGAGUCAGGUUUCAAUCCAGCCCCUAACAUCUUACUUCUAACCAUCAAAGCAGACCUCAUAUCUCCAAUUUUGCAAUAGGCAUUUAUCAAAGUAUUACAUGUGAUGUUAUCAGGUUCAACCUUUUUCCCAUUCAUCUCAUUCAACAGUCUAUUUGCGUCCUUUAUCCGACUGUCUUCACACAGUUUGCGAAGAAUUGAAUUAUAAGUCACAACACCAGGAUACAACCCCUUAGCCUCCAUGGCAUCACGCAAUUGUAAAGCUUGAUCAAGAUCAUUCACUCUGCAAUAUCCAUUGAUCAAGGUAGUGUAUGUAACCUGGUUUGGUGUAACCCCUUUAAUUUCCUUAAAAAGCCUGUGAGCCUCCCUCAUUCUACUUUCCCGGCAAUAACUGUAAAUGAGAGAAUUAUAGGUAAAGAUAUCCGGACAAACACCCCAGAUUUCAUCCUAUCCUGCACACACAAAGCCUCAUGAUGCAUGCCCUUUUGCAGUACAAAGAGAUUAACGUAUUAUACGUUAUUAGAUCAGGAAAUACAGCCUUAAACUCCAUUUCUCUCAAUAACUCUUCUGCUUUCUCCACGUCCCCGGACUUGCAACAAGCAUGAAUCAACACAUUGUAUAUAUGCAGGUUCGGAACGACCCCAGCUUUUAUGAUCUUCCUGUAUAAUUUCCACACUGUAUCACAUAAUCUAUCCUUGACCAAAGAGUUCAACAGGACAGUACAAGCAUGCAAAUGAGGUUUAAACCCACAUAGCCUCAUGUGCUCAAACACUUGAACGGCAUCCUGUGUCUUUUUAGAAUUAGCAUAAAAUAUCACCAACCAACUCAAAACAUGAGAAUUCACAUCUGGACUGUCACAACCGCUCACAAGAGCAUUCAACACCGUUGGCGAUGACAAAAAAUCUUUAAGCGCAAUCUUUUCAAGCAUAGCAUGUGCAGUCUUGAAAUGCUUUUGCUUAGUUAACACACAAAUCAUUGUCCAACAAGACUGUAAAGAAUGGUUGUAAUCGGGAAUGGUUUCAACCCAUUUAUAAAAUGACCAAGAAAGAGAAAACCCAUAUGACGAAAGGCUAAUAAGUGCCUGAUUGAUCGUACUUGAAGACACAAAAGAACCAAUCUUGGGCUUCAAAAUAUCAUCCCAGUGACCCUUCACCACAAUGGCACACACAGUUUUGACAAAUAGACUUUCACUGCUUACCCUAACGGAGCUAGCCAUUAAAAAUCAAGCCGAAUACACCAACGAUCUAGUCCAAAUAAAUAAUCCAGAAGAUGCCUGCUCUUGAUUCUGAGAAACUUGGCAAGAGUAGCAACUCGUUAUGCUGGUCCAUGAGAAUUAAUCAAUUAUUACUAAUUAUAAAUUGGGAAACAUAGUAGUAAAUCAGAACCCAACCUUAGGCAUCGUUAGGCUUUAAUUUCCCGUAUGGUGUGCGGCUUCAUGCAAAAGUGGCAGCUCAGUUGGAGACCUGGGCCAGAGACAAACAGGAAGCGCGGAAGCUACAAUAAAGAAGUUAUUUUUAUGGCCAGAGAAGAAGAACCUAAUACAAUGCCGCGUUCAGGCUAAAUUUUCGGAGCCCCGAAAACUUAAACCUCAGCCUCGGUGGUAUAUAGGGCCUUCGACUUCAGACAACUGAGGAAAGAAUUUGGCGGAAUCGCUGAUGAGGGACAUGGCCGGUGACCGACUGGGGAUCAACAUGUUAACCGGUAUGUCCGGUAAUCUUUCUCCCUGGUUUGCGAGUUUAGGAGAGAGAGAGAGAGAGAGAGACUAAUAAAAGAGAAAAUACAGAAAAAGGAAACAAUGGGAAAGAAACACUAAAUAAAUUUUCAUCUCGCUGUGAGUCUGAAAAUGGAAAAGAUAGGACUCAUCUUUUAUUUCGGAGUCGACGUGAAAUUAAAAGAAAAGAUUUUGCACGCAGACAUCCUACAUAUGUGUCAUCUUGACUCUGAUAAUGCCUUUAGCAGCGGCCACAUUAAUUGUGAAAUGUUAACGUGGAAUGUGAGAUUAAAGGUUAAAACGUUACUUUUCAUUAAUACAAGAUUUGUUCUAAAUUCAUAAAAGUGCAUAAUAUAUCAUAUGAUCUAAUAGUAAUUCAGCUCCAUCAAAUUCCUCCGAUUCCAUUGGACACCAUCCCCUAGAGUAGGCCUAUGACACUGACUUCACUAAAUUGUAUUUUCCUUUGAGUCUACUAAGCCUAAUUUUAACGAGUAUCAGCAUGUAACAUGUCGAAGGACAAAAUGGUUAUAGAAUAACACAAAGAUUAACAGCCUGUAGUUUCUUUUCCUUUCUUCCCUUCCCACUCAUGGGAGGAAAAGCUUUUCAAGUUUAGAGGGAUCUAGAGAGUAAAAGACUAGAACAUUAAUACAUGCAUUAGUUCGCCUGACUGCCAUUAAGGCAAAACAGGAGGUUGAUGGUACCAGUUGAUAAUUUGUUUUCACUGUUCUAGAGAAUGCAUAUCAGAUACAAUACCCCUGCGGCGCGGAGACUUCUUUUGCUGUCUUUGCCUAGAAAACAGAACUGAGUAAACAUAUGAAUAUAGUCGGGAAUAGGGAAACCUGUAAUAGCCGGGACAAAAAGGUGAAAGAGACCAGCCCAACAUGGUCUCUCAACCAACCAUGCGGGCCCUUGACAGUUCCCCAUCUGAAGGAGGAAAACAGACUUCUCUCCUCAAAUAUUAUUUUCCUAAGUGAAACAAAACAUAGGAAAAAUUACAUGGAAAAAGUAAAAAAAAUCCUGAAUUUUGAAAAUAGCUUUAUAGUGGAAGCAAUGAACAAAAUUGGUGGCAUGGCCUUAUUGUGGAAUAAUGAGGUGAAGAUCUUUGACGUUCAAGAAACAACCUUCACUAUUGAGGCAAAAGUGGAAGAUGAAGAGAAAAAGGAAAGUUGAUGGUUUAUUGAAAUAUAUGCUAGCUGUGAUGGUCAGAUAAGAAGGAAUCAAUGGGAAGUCAUAAAUAGAAGGAAAUCAAUCUGGGGAGCAAAAUGGAUAAUCAUGGGAGACUUUAAUGACAUUACUUCAAAUGAUGAAAAAUGGGGUGGAAGGGUGAGAGAUAAUGGAAGCUUUCAAGAUUUCAGGAAAUUCAUAUAUGAUAAUCAGUUGGUAGAUAUGGGUUAUGAAGGGAAGCCGUGGACAUGGAGCAACAACUAGUAUGGACCUGGAGAGGUAAAAGAAAGACUGGACAGGGGGUUAUGCACUUUAGAAUGGUCAAAUGUUAUGAGGAAGCCAACUGUACUCAUAUAGAGUCCCAAGCUUCUGAUCAUAGUAUGUUAUUACUAGAAACUCAGAAGGACAGGAAGCAAAGGAAAAAGAGAUUCCAGUUUUGAUAAGAGGUGGCUCCAACAAAGUGAGGUAGAGGAAGUGGUUAAGAAAGCUUGGGACAUUCCAUGUGCUGAACAAGGUGAUUUAAGGUAAAAAAGAAGAUUAAGAACUGCAGAAUUGAGUUACUAAAGUGAAGCAGUAGCAAGAAAAGAAAAUUCCUCCGAAAAAUUAAAUGGUGCAAAAACCAGAUUGAAGAAAUCAAGGCAUCUACUGGAGAUAACAAGAAGCAACAAGUACAGGAAAUGAAGGGACAAUUGAAAAAGGCAUAUGAGAGGAGAAGCUUAUUGGAAUCAGAAUUCAAGAUUGAGGUGGCUAAAGGAGGGGGAUAAAAAUACUCAAUUUUCCAUGCAACGGUGAAAUGAAGAAGGAAGAGAAUAGAUUGCAGAAUUUGAGAAAGGAGAGUGGAGAAUGGACUACCAAUGACGAAGAACUGGGUGGGGAAAUAGCCAAAUAUUAUGAGGACCUGUUCAAAUCGAAAGCAAAUAGGCAGCUAGAGGAGAUCUUAGAGGGGAUUCCUAUAACUAUAACUGAACAUAUGAACAAGGAUUUGACCAAAAAAGUGGAUGAAAAUGAAAUAAAGAAUGCAUUUUUUUCAAUGAAUCCUAAUAAGACUCCUGGAAAUGAUGGCAUGUCCUCGUUUUUUUUCAAAAUUUCUGGAGUCUUAUUAAAAAGGAUUUGGUAAAUGCAAUCCAAGGAUUCUUCCAUCAUGGAGUCAUCCUCAAAGCCAUAAACCAUACUAUUAUCUCUUUGAUUCCAAAAGUUGAUGGUCCUACAGAGAUUAAUCAGUAUAGGCCUAUUAGUCUUUGUCAAGUGAUCUAUAAAGCGUUAGCAAAAAUCCUUGUUAACAGACUAAAGCCUUGCUAAGUAGAUGCAUCAGCAAAAGCCAAUCUGCAUUUGUACCAGGUAGGCAAAUUUUAGACAAUGUCAUUCUUUCUCAUGAGUUGAUGCACUAUCUAAAAAAAAGGCAAGGUAGAGUGGGCUCUAUGGCAAUGAAACUGGACAUGUCUAAAGCCUACGAUAGAGUGGAAUGGAGCUUUUUGAAGGCAAUAAUGGAAAAAAUGGGUUUUUGCUCAACUUGGGUAAACUGGAUCAUGGCAUGCAUAAGUACAGUAACCUACUCCUUCAAUAUUAAUGGUGAGCACAAGGAGGUUGUCACCCCCUCAACAGGUAUCAGGCAGGGCGAUCCACUCUCCCCAUACCUGUUUUUGCUUUGUUCAGAAAGGCUAUCAAAUUUGCUGCAGAAAGCUAAGAUGGACAAGGAACUGACAGGAAUAAAAAUUAGCAGAAGGGCGCCCACAAUAACUCAUUUGUUCUUUGCAUAUGAUUCCUUGGUAUUCUGUAAAGCUAACAAACAAGAAGCAGAGAAGUUGAAAAAGAUCCUCAAAGAGUAUGAAUAGGCAACAAGGCAACUCAUUAAUAUGGAAAAGUCCUCAGUCUUAUUCAGCAAAAACACAUUGCCAUCUGUGAAGAGUGAAGUCUGUCAGGUGAUGGGAUCCAUUAAACAGGUUGAACAAGGCAAAUAUCUUGGGUUACCAAUGGUAAUAACAAGAUCAAAAGAGCAGGUAUUCGGAUUCAUAAGAAACUCAAUAGAUAAGAAAUUGAAAGAAUGGGGGAAGAAGUUGUUAAGCCAAGUAGGGAAGGAAAUAAUGAUUAAAGCUGUGGCAAUGGCCAUGCCUACCUACACUAUGUCCUGCUUCAGACUAACCAACAAGAUAUGCAAAGAAAUCAGUACGAAAAUGGCUAAUUACUGGUGGGGUGAUGCUGAUGGAAAAAAAAAGUUACACUGGAUAAGCUGGAAGAAGUUGACAGCUAAGAGAAGCAAUGGAGGAAUAGGAUUUAAAGAUUUGAAGCUGUUUAACAAGGCUCUAUUGGCUAAACAGAUCUGGAAACUAAUAACACAGCCAAAUUUGUUAGUCAGUAGAGUACUAAAGGAGAAGUACUACCCCAAGCAAUCAAUUUUCAAUUGCAAGGUACCACAAAAUGCAUCUUGGAUCUGGCAGAGCCUAGCAGGAGUAAGAAAGGAAUUGCAAGAAGGAGUUAGGAGGAAAAUUGGCAAUGGGAAAGGAACCAAAAUAUGGGAAGAUAAUUGGAUCCCAGGAACAUUGGAAGGGAAACCAACUGCUACAAGGCCAAGGGUGUCAACUGAUAUUAGUGUCUGAUUUGAUCAGGAACAACAGAUGGAAUAGAGUCCUGGUAUUCAAAACGUUUAAUUCACAGGAUGCUGAGAGAAUACUGAAUAUACCAUUAAGUGUAACAAGAUGUGAGGACAGCUAUUUCUGGAUGCAUUCCCAGGCUGGACAGUACACAGUUCAAUCUGGUUAUAAAGCUUGGCUGAAGGCAAAGGAAAACAAGUACACAAGAAGGAAGGAGGAUGCUGGAACAAGCUUUGAAGGAACUAACUCCAAGAUCUGGAACUCAUUGUAGCAACAGAAGGUAAGCCAGAAACUACAGGUUUUCAUUUGGAAAUGCUUGCAUGGGGGACUCCCAGUCAAUGAGGCAAUUUUUACAAGAACAAAAUUAGGGAACCCCAUAUGUACUGGAUGUGGAGAGAAGCUGGAAACGAUCGAACACAUGCUGCUGCAAUGUACUAAAGUGAAGGAAAUUUGGAAAAUGGCGCCAGUGCAGUGGGAUGGAAUUGAACAUCUGUCUGACAACUUCACCAAAUGGUGGUCCGCAGUCCAGGAAGCUCAAGCCAGUAGAGGUGUGGAGGAUCAAGUGAACAUUACCAUCAACAUUCUCUGGCAAUUAUGGAAAUUCAGGAAUAAUAGAGAGUUUAACCAUAAGGAAAAUGAGCCUUUCAAGAUAAUUGAAAAGGCACAGCAGGAGUGGACAGAAUAUAAUGAAGCUAACAAAGGGGAGAAUUCAAGAAGGAGCACUCAGGAAAUAGCGAUACAGCAAAGGACCGUCCAGGUUCAAAAUGAGAGCCACACUGGUAUGUUAUUAAAGAUCCACACGCAUCAAGACAGAAGGCAAGCAACAGUAGGGAUUGGAAUCACAGCUAUAGAUAACUUGGGAUAACUGCAAGCAGCCUGGGCACUUAGAGAAAGAUCAUCCGGUGAUACAUUACAAGACCAAGCUGUUGCGAUUAGAUUAGCUCUACUGAAAGCAAUGUUUUUAAACUCGGACCGGUCAGUGAACCGGAGAGGUGGCCGGUUCACGGUUCGACCGGUCCGACCGGUCCAACCGGCCGGUUCAAAGGUUCACUGUUUUUUUUUUUUUUUUUUUUUUAAGUGUUAAGUACUAAGUAGGUUUCAUUCUACACUUGAACUUUACCAACAUAACUUAAUUUAAGUUAUGAUAAUAAUAAAUUUUCUAAAAGUUAUACAUAAAACAUGGAAUGAUAAAUAUAAUUAAAAUAUCAUAAUUCACCAUAAGUUUUCAUAAAUUCAUUAUAAACAUAAGUAGAUACAAUCCAAAUGUUCACCAAUUAUCACAAAUAAAAACACAAAAAAUAAAUAAAUUAAAUAUUGAAAUUCUUUUGCAACCCUUAAAAAAAUCCAUAAAAGAGUUCAAGUUAAGACAAACUAUUUGAAUAGCAAACUUUUAUCAGUGGCAUGAUAAGCAACCACACCACCUUCACAAUUUCUUCAACUUAAGAUGAAAAAGUUAAAUUUUUUUUGUAAAAAUAUAAAUCUAAUUGCUCAAACUAAAAAAAAACUAAAAAUUUUUGAAAAACAAAUAUACAGUUAAACACAUAAAAAAUUAAUUACUACUAAACAUUACUAAUUAACAUGUUAUAUUAAAUUCAAUGAUCCUAUACCAUUAAUUAUUUUAAAUUCAAUUAUCAAUAGCUUCGAUUAUGUGCCAACUACCAUAUUUUUGACCAGUCCAAUGUUAUUAUUUGUAAUUUCUACCCAAUUCCUACACGGAUGUGCACUACUUUUGCAAAAAUUUCAUUCUUAAUUAAUCGAAUAAAAAUAAAACAAAAUGAGGGAAACAUAUAAAAAUUGAGGGGAAAAAGAAGAAAAUGCAAAAAAUCAACUAAAGAUAAUAAUAUAGAAAAAAAACCUUGAAAAGAAAAAAAUUAAACUUACUAAGAUGUUGGAAAACAAGAAAAGUUGAAAUUUUCAACUUGUUUACAAUUUGCUAAAGAUAAUAACCUGAUAAUAAUGGUGAAGACUUGAGAAAAUCUUGUUGUGGAUAUUUGGGUUAAAAAUGGUUAAGAAAAAAAAAUAAGAAAAGAACUUGAUGUUUUAAUAUAUUUUUUAGUCAAGUAGAAUUCUCAACAAACUUAACUAUAGUCUAGCGGUGAGAUUGUCAAAUCCAAACUUGGAAAUCCACGUUCGAAUCUUAACUACACCAUUCUUGAUAUUUUGUUGAACAAUUUAAAAAACCGCCGGUUCACGGUUCUUAACGAUUCACACGGUUCGUCCGGGUUUCAACGGUUCUCCAUGAACUUCCGGCUUUAGCAUUAGAUCGGACCGGUGACAUGGCCGGUUCGCGGUCCAACCGGUCGAACCGGCCGGUCCGAUCCGGUUCUGAAAACAUUGACUGAAAGUUGCAGGCCAAGGCUGGAGGAAUAUCAAAGUAGAACUUGACAAUCGCAAGCUGGUAGAAAAUAUAACAGCAGCAAAGUACAACAAUCAGCUGAUGGCCACUCUAAUUGAGGACAUUCGAUCCAUUGGUACUUUGUUUCAACAGUGCUCUAUUCUUUUUGCUAAUUCUAGGAAAGUAGAAAGUAUCAAAUUGAGCAUUCAUGCUCUAAACAUCUGGUUAGAUGAAGUUAGGUGAAUCUCAAUCUUAGAUGCUAGGCAUCAGUGAUUCUGUAGGAUAGUUUGUCCCUUUUGAUUGGACCUUUGUCCAAAAUAUUGUAAAGUUUAUAGUUCUAUAUAUAUAAAACAAACUAACGUUUCGACAAAAAAAAAAAAAAAAGUAAACAUAUGAAUAUAGUAGUUCAACCGUCUUCAAUUUCAAAACAAAAAGAUACCAUGUUGAUUUGUAGCGUUACAUAUGAUUUUAGCAGCUCAUGCCGUCAUGCCAACAAUCUGCCGUUGUGCUGUUCCCAUACUGCAAAUUCACACGUAACCGGUUCUCGUGUGACCGGCUCUUCUCUCCUGUACCACCGAAGACAGAAGUAGUAGGAGUUGACAUGGACAGAACAGCCUCACAGAAGAACAAAUUCAAAUUGCACGAAAGAAUAAUGAAUUGCAUUUUUCAUAAUUUUUCAUGAAAAAAUUACUAUAGCGAUUUGAUGAAUGUGAAAAAAAAAAUAAUAAAAAUAUAAUUACAAAUAACGAUAUAAUUUUUUGACGAAAAAUAGCAAUCCAAACAAGGCCUAAUUUUUAUUCGCAACGAACUAGAUAUAAGAGUCAAUUCAAUUCAGACCCAAACAUGCAACAUGAGGACUAAAAACCCAUAAAGAACCUGCGACCCGACUGAAGCAGUCGCAAGAAUAAAUACCAAAGUGAAAGACAGCUUUAUUCAUUGACUUGACUACAAGAACAAGAAGAAGAGACCUUAUUGUAAUCCCCGACAACAAGCACAAAAGGGACCCCGUUGAAAUGAAAAUACUUCAACACACAAUUAAAAAUGGAAGACUCUCUCAAUUGUCACUCUUCCUUCUCGACGUACUCGUCCUCACUCUCGCUCCAGCAGCAUUUCAGAAUUGACCUGGGAGACCCACAGCAACCAGCGCCAGUGAAACUCUGGUAGAUAAUUGAUCCUCCCUUCCCGAGCAUUUCACAGCUCCUUUCCUCACACGUGUAUCCUUUCAAGUUCAAGUUGAAAUCAAAAUCAAGCUCCUCUCCAGAACUACCACUGUGAAGAGCAAAACAAAACUCCGUGGGUUGGAAACAGGCCAACACCCUUUCAAGAAGCUUGGUCAAGUCUAGAACUUUCAAGUCAUAUCCAACGGCUUCAAAACUAGCAUAAUUGAAGCCAUCCUCGGGUGUAACAUAAAUAGUCGAGAUUGCAUCUCCUUCGAUUGAAUUCAUGGAAUACCCACAGGGAUCAAAGUCAAAAUCACAGAUCUCUGAUUGGGGAAGAAUCUUUCUUAUGCCAGAGGUUUCAGUCAUGACAGCAGCAGACCUUGACUGUGUUUUAUAAAACACUGCAGCCCUAUUCUUGUCCAACCCAGUCAUGCACAUUUCUAAGGUAUAAACCGGGUCCACAUUUUCCAUGUGUUCAGCUGAAGCAGAGUAGACAUGCCAUUUCUGCUGCUUGUCAGCACCACCCAUCAGAUAAGCUCUACUGCCUGCUCCAAGUUUGCCAAAAUAGCUGUUUAGGACAGCUACUUCCUCAGAAAAAUUGCGGUGUGGAUAAGGCUGAGCACCAGGAAAUAUAAAACUCCCACGGGAAUACCUCACUGAUUUCACUGUGAGUUUGAGGUCACCAGCAAACUUCAGGAUCAAUGGAAUUGAAAGAAGCAACUUUGUAGUCCCACAAGUUUUGAGUAUGAUUUUGUAAGGGAAGAUGAAAAGACUAGAUUCUGAGAGUACAUAGGAAUCGACUUCACCAUUCGAUAAUGAGGACACAAUGGUGCAAUGAGCUGGUUUUAGAAUUUCAUCCAACUGGUAAUUUGAUAAAGCUCGAAGCCCACGACCACCAGGGUCAGCAAAGAUACCAGGUUCAAAAAAUGAUAUUUCAAGCCUUUUUUCAAAACCUUCAAAUCCAAUGGCAGAGACUGGCAAGGCCAUCUUAGCUUAAGAAAGACAAGUGCUGAUU